UGGCUGCUAGGCUCCUGGGUG
This 21-nucleotide microRNA is filed under the name Oryza sativa (Asian cultivated rice). Its description in RNAcentral is "osa-miR2094-5p". Lineage: Eukaryota; Viridiplantae; Streptophyta; Magnoliopsida; Poales; Poaceae. The record is from miRBase by way of RNAcentral.